Molecule: ribosomal RNA, 673 nt
Filed under: Heterodera glycines (soybean cyst nematode)
Lineage: Eukaryota; Metazoa; Nematoda; Chromadorea; Rhabditida; Heteroderidae
Description: 12S ribosomal RNA
Source: RNAcentral
UUAUUUUUUGUUUUAGUUUUUUGGUUAAUAAAAAAAUUUUAUUUAAGUUUAAAUUAUUUUAUUAAUUAAUUAAUUAGUUUUUUAUUAAUGGUCUUUAAAACGUUCCAGAAGAAUCGGCUAUACGUUUUUUAAUUUUUAACUUUAGAUUUUUAGAUUUUUUUAAUUUAUUAUAGGUUUUUUAUAUUUUGUUUAAAAUUUAUUUUUUUUUAAUAAAAAAAAAAAUCAAUUUCUUUUUAAAAAACCUGGGUUUGAAUCCAGUUAUUUUUUCUUUUUUAAUACUUGAGUAAUUUUUUUUUUAUAAAUAGAAAGAAUUAAGUUGGAAUAAAUAAUUAAUUUUUGGAGUUUGAUAAUUAAUAGGAGAAACCUCCAUUUUAGCUUUUUUUUUUAUUUUCUGUAUGUUUAUCUUUUUUUUUUUUAUUAAAAAAAAUAUUAUUUUUUUACUUUUUUUGUAGAAAUAUAUAGAGUAUAAAAUUAAGUUUAAUUGAGCUACAUUUUUUUUUUAAUUUUUAUUAUAGUUUAAUUUUUGUUUAUUAAUAGGAAAAAAAAGUAAAAAAAAAAUUUAUUUUUUUUUUAAUUUUUAUUAUUUUUAGUACUAAUUGUCCAUCAGUUCCUUAUUUAUAUUUUGGGAUAAGUUGUAGUAAGGUAGAUUUGUGAGAACUUAAAUCUUAAAUAA